Molecule: ribosomal RNA, 1330 nt
Filed under: Nocardia sp.
Lineage: Bacteria; Bacillati; Actinomycetota; Actinomycetes; Mycobacteriales; Nocardiaceae
Description: bacterial SSU rRNA
Rfam family: Bacterial small subunit ribosomal RNA
Source: RNAcentral
UACACGAGCGGCGAACGGGUGAGUAACACGUGGGUGAUCUGCCUCGCACUCUGGGAUAAGCCUGGGAAACUGGGUCUAAUACCGGAUAUGACCACGGAUCGCAUGGUUUGUGGUGGAAAGAUUUAUCGGUGCGAGAUGGGCCCGCGGCCUAUCAGCUUGUUGGUGGGGUAAUGGCCUACCAAGGCGACGACGGGUAGCCGACCUGAGAGGGUGACCGGCCACACUGGGACUGAGACACGGCCCAGACUCCUACGGGAGGCAGCAGUGGGGAAUAUUGCACAAUGGGCGAAAGCCUGAUGCAGCGACGCCGCGUGAGGGAUGACGGCCUUCGGGUUGUAAACCUCUUUCGACAGGGACGAAGCGCAAGUGACGGUACCUGUAGAAGAAGCACCGGCCAACUACGUGCCAGCAGCCGCGGUAAUACGUAGGGUGCGAGCGUUGUCCGGAAUUACUGGGCGUAAAGAGCUUGUAGGCGGUUCGUCGCGUCGAUUGUGAAAACUUGCAGCUCAACUGCAAGCUUGCAGUCGAUACGGGCGGACUAGAGUACUUCAGGGGAGACUGGAAUUCCUGGUGUAGCGGUGAAAUGCGCAGAUAUCAGGAGGAACACCGGUGGCGAAGGCGGGUCUCUGGGAAGUAACUGACGCUUAGAAGCGAAAGCGUGGGUAGCGAACAGGAUUAGAUACCCUGGUAGUCCACGCCGUAAACGGUGGGUACUAGGUGUGGGUUUCCUUCCACGGGAUCCGUGCCGUAGCUAACGCAUUAAGUACCCCGCCUGGGGAGUACGGCCGCAAGGCUAAAACUCAAAGGAAUUGACGGGGGCCCGCACAAGCGGCGGAGCAUGUGGAUUAAUUCGAUGCAACGCGAAGAACCUCACCUGGGUUUGACAUACACCAGAAAGCCGUAGAGAUACGGCCCCCCUUGUGGUUGGUGUACAGGUGGUGCAUGGCCGUCGUCAGCUCGUGUCGUGAGAUGUUGGGUUAAGUCCCGCAACGAGCGCAACCCUUAUUUUAUGUUGCCAGCGCGUAAUGGCGGGGACUCGUGAGAGACUGCCGGGGUCAACUCGGAGGAAGGUGGGGACGACGUCAAGUCAUCAUGCCCCUUAUGUCCAGGGCUUCACACAUGCUACAAUGGCCGGUACAGAGGGCUGCGAUACCGUGAGGUGGAGCGAAUCCCUUAAAGCCGGUCUCAGUUCGGAUCGGGGUCUGCAACUCGACCCCGUGAAGUUGGAGUCGCUAGUAAUCGCAGAUCAGCAACGCUGCGGUGAAUACGUUCCCGGGCCUUGUACACACCGCCCGUCACGUCAUGAAAGUCGGUAACACCCGAAGCCGGU